This is a long non-coding RNA of Talpa occidentalis (Iberian mole), 1088 nucleotides long. RefSeq lists it as uncharacterized. The record is from RefSeq and is a predicted model, not a curated record. NCBI's taxonomy places the organism in Eukaryota, Metazoa, Chordata, Mammalia, Eulipotyphla, Talpidae. The transcript has 4 exons.
GGUGGCCGGGAUGGAACCAGUGCUGCAGAGAAUGUGGGCAGCUUCACAGCCCAGCGCUCAACCACUGCACCACCAGGGGAGGCCUUGCUUAGGAGGCGCAAUACGGAGGCAGAGUGAAGACACUGGGCUCAGCGCCACCAUAAACUCACAACACUGUGCAGGACAACAUCAAUGCCCCUGAAAGAGAAAUGGGUGACCAGGGCUCAGACCAGGAGCAGGGACCAAUGGCAAGAAACCGGGAAAACGUUAACUGACCUGCAUCUACAGUUAUACUGGAGCAGAAUUAAACCCCCUACAGAUGUGGACUCGGGGACACAAGCCACACUGGGGACUUUGGAGAUUCAGCACUUCCCUCAGCGCUGGGCUCAACCUGCUGGGCCCUCCGGGAGGCCCUAUUUUUGAAGACACCGUACCAAUUCUCUACAGCUGCGUAGAAAGAGCGUCCAGAUGCCUCCACACCCCAGGGCUUGCAGGAAUAACAGGUCACCUGGAGGUGCCCCUGCAGUGGGAACCAGUGUGUCCACGGCGGCCGCCUCCUUGUGCCCUCUGGGACCUGCGUGGGAAGAGCAGAGCCAGUGAAUCCCAAGCACGGAGGAGGCUCUUUCCUUAGUGACACCCCCCGGAAAGUGCUGCAUGGACUCAGAUGAGACAAAGUGCAGAUGGAAACCAGGAGGCCCUAUCGAGGCACCACUCACUGGCGGGUGUUUCACCAGACCCAUUGCCCUCCCUGCCCUUCACCUGCUCUGCUCCGGGGACUGCUGUGCUUGCGGACAUCUGUGCUCCACACCUAUGUUCUCAUGCUGCUUCUGGCCCCUCUGGCUGGGCCCAGCCUCUGAGCCUUCUCCAGGGCUUGGCCUCCGCUGGUGUGCUCCUUUCACUAUGGCCACUGAGUGGCUGCCCUGGAGCGGGGAAGUGAAUUCUAGGGAGGUGCUGGUGACCAUCUAAUCCCCAGCAGGGUGAACUCUGCUCUUGUGUUUUCUUCCAAAGGGUGGACAGAAAAUGCAACAUUUUAAAAUCCUAUUAAGGAUUCAACGAGCUCUGGCCUUGUAGCCUCCGCUGGACUGAAGGGUGGUUUGGGAAUGGUGUUA